Long non-coding RNA from Peromyscus californicus insignis, 1289 nucleotides. RefSeq lists it as uncharacterized. Lineage: Eukaryota; Metazoa; Chordata; Mammalia; Rodentia; Cricetidae. The transcript is spliced from 3 exons. The record is from RefSeq and is a predicted model, not a curated record.
UCAGGGAAGGCUUUAUUUAUUUUAUUUAUUUUGUUGCUGUUGCUGCUGCACGGCUUUUGAGACAGGUCUUGCCAUGCAUUCCAGGCCAUCCCGAAACUUACAAUCCUCCUGCUUCAACCUCCAGAGUGCUAGAUGACAGAUGUGUGCCAACAUGCCCGCUCUGAUGGUUUGAAUGAGAAUGUCCCUAUGGGGUCAUAUUAGAAUGCCUGGUCUCCAGUUAGUGGACCGUUUGGGGAAUGCUUAGGACCUGUAGAUCAGAUGUAAGCUCUCAGCUACUGCUCCAGCUCCAUGCCUGCCAGCCUGCUUCCAUGCUUCCUGCCAUGAUGGUUAUGGAUUCACCCUUUGAAACUGUGAAACUGUAUAACAACCCGGCCUCUACUCCCCUUGUUCUGAAGCACUCCAUUAUAAGAACUCCAGUCAUCGGUCUGGAGAGAUGACGUCUCAGUGAAGAGCCCUGGCUGCCACAUGAUGGCUCCUGACCACCUGUAACACCGAUUCCACAGGACCCAACGCCCUCUUCUUGGUCUCCACGGGCAGUGCAUGCACAUGGUACACAUACAUACAUGCAGAAAAACACUCAUACAUAUAAGAUAGAAAAUACAAAUCUUUUUUUUUUUUUUGGUUUUUCGAGACAGGGUUUCUCUGUGUAGCUUUGCGCCUUUCCUGGAUCUCUCGCGCUGUAGACCAGGCUGGCCUCGAACUCACAGAGAUCCGCCUGCCUCUGCCUCCCGAGUGCUGGGAUUAAAGGCAUGCGCCACCACCACCUGGCUGAAAAUACAAAUCUUAAAAAACAAACCCACUGAGCCAGGUGGUGGUGGCGGUGGCGCAUGCCUUUAAUCCCAGCACUCGGGAGGCAGAGCCAGGCGGAUCUCUGUGAGUUUGAGGCCAGCCUGGGCUACAGAGUGAGUUCCAGGAAAGGCUCCAAAGCUACACAGAGAAACCUUGUCUCAAAAAAACAAACAAGAAAGAAAGAAUGAAAGAAAGAAAGAAAGAAAGAAAGAAAGAAAGAAACCCCACUAAACUGACCCAACUGCCUGAAAUGCACCUGCUCAUCUCUUGACAUGUCAAUAUAAUAUAACCUGCAGAUCACAUUUCAUCUGCCCCAAGAAGCCCUUUCUUUGAGCCUGGUUAACCCCACAAAUCCUAGUGCUUACACAUAUGGUACUUAUUAUUACAGUAAGUGUCCCUAUGAGAUUCCUGAGGUCUGGAACCAUUAUUUACUUUCUGGGCCUCCUUAACAUAUAGCACAUAUCAAGUGAUUCAGAUAUUAAAUCGCUACAUGAACAUUC